ACUCCUACGGGAGGCAGCAGUGGGGAAUUUUGGACAAUGGGCGAAAGCCUGAUCCAGCAAUGCCGCGUGAGUGAAGAAGGCCUUCGGGUUGUAAAGCUCUUUUGUCAGGGAAGAAACGGUGAAAGCUAAUAUCUUUUGCUAAUGACGGUACCUGAAGAAUAAGCACCGGCUAACUACGUGCCAGCAGCCGCGGUAAUACGUAGGGUGCAAGCGUUAAUCGGAAUUACUGGGCGUAAAGCGUGCGCAGGCGGUUUUGUAAGUCUGAUGUGAAAUCCCCGGGCUCAACCUGGGAAUUGCAUUGGAGACUGCAAGGCUAGAAUCUGGCAGAGGGGGGUAGAAUUCCACGUGUAGCAGUGAAAUGCGUAGAUAUGUGGAGGAACACCGAUGGCGAAGGCAGCCCCCUGGGUCAAGAUUGACGCUCAUGCACGAAAGCGUGGGGAGCAAACAGGAUUAGAUACCCUUGUAGUCCC
This 470-nucleotide ribosomal RNA is filed under the name uncultured organism. RNAcentral describes it as "partial 16S ribosomal RNA". It matches the Rfam family "Bacterial small subunit ribosomal RNA", at positions 335 to 797 of the family's 1533-position model. The record is from RNAcentral.